Molecule: non-coding RNA, 122 nt
Organism: Ignavibacteria bacterium GWF2_33_9
Lineage: Bacteria; Pseudomonadati; Ignavibacteriota; Ignavibacteria
Source: Rfam
AACCUUUCCCAAGAUGAGGUAUCUCUUAAGGAUCCAGGUAGACGACCUGGUUGAUAGGCUACAGGUGUAAGUGCAGCAAUGUAUUUAGCUGAGUAGUACUAAUAAUCCGUUGGCUUGCCGGA